This 215-nucleotide transfer RNA is filed under the name Ailuropoda melanoleuca (giant panda). Its description in RNAcentral is "tRNA-Lys". Lineage: Eukaryota; Metazoa; Chordata; Mammalia; Carnivora; Ursidae. The record is from RNAcentral.
ACCUGGCUGGCUCAGGUGGUGGAACAUGUGACUCUUGAUCUCAAGGUUGCAAGUUCAAGCACCAUGCGUAGAGAUUAUUUUUAAAAAGUAAAAUCUUUUAAAAAAUAAAAAUAAAAAAUAUGGGGCUCCUGGGUGGUUCAGUCCAUUAAGCGACCAACUCGAUUUUGGCUCAGGUCAUGAUCUCAAGGUCAUGAGUUCAAUCCCCAUGUCAGGCU